CGAUCUAGGAAUGCGCGGUAUAAGUUGCACAAACAUUUUAAGAAAUUUACAACACUUGAGGAGGCACUAAGAAACAAGCCAAAAGAAAAUGGUUUGACUCAAGAUAAUUGGAAUUUACUUUGCAAAUAUUGGUCUGAUCCUAAUGUGAAGGCAAAAUGUGAAAAAAAUGCUGAGAAUCAAACAAAGAAUACUAUGCCACAUAACCAAGGAUCUAUGGCUUUCGUGGUGGUCCGCAAUUAGAUUGAGAAGAAUGAACUUAAUGGGGAGGAAUGUGAUCGAAUUAGCUUUUUUAAAUUCACUCAUUUCAAAGAAGGAAAAGGUUGGAUGCCCCUAGUGUUGGUCUGAGAAGAGGAGACUGCUGUCUAGCUUAAGGGAGGCUGUUGGUUUGUGAAACGAUGCCGUCUUAAAUAUAAAAGACUGCAUAGAAACGUUGCCGUUUCAACUAAAGAACAAUCUAUGAAGAACCAAAAACGCAGUCGUCUCAGCUCCAGUCUUUACUAAAAUAAGUGUUGUCUUCUCUGUUGCUAAAUAGAAAUCUGUUCUUUCUCUGUAACCUCACUGUAACUAAUUCUGUUUCUUCAGUUCAGCAGCUCACUAUAUAAGCUGGCUUGUAACAGAUUCUGUUAUUAAUCAAAAACUGGAACAAAAUAAAGUUUUCGUUGCUCUUGUUUCUCUCAUCUCCGUUUCUAUUUCUGUUUGUUUGAGCUCUCUCUAAAAGUUCCACACCCAGAAGUCGAGGCAAAAUAUAAUGAAAUGAUAGAAUUGAAGGAAAAAAGUUCAUCAGAUGACAAACCAUUAACUGCAGAUGAAAUUUGUGAUCAAGUGCUUGGAACUUGAUCAGGAUAUAUUAAGGGACUUAGGUAUGGUCCAAAGCCUUAGAAAAAAGCAGGACCAAGUCUUCAAAUUAAGAGACUUGCAAAUGCUCUUAAAGAAUCUAAAAAUAGAUUUAGAGAAUCAGAGGAAAUAAAUCUCAAGUAUCAAGAGAAAGUA
Pistacia vera is the source of this 990-nucleotide long non-coding RNA. RefSeq lists it as uncharacterized. The record is from RefSeq and is a predicted model, not a curated record. The transcript has 4 exons. NCBI's taxonomy places the organism in Eukaryota, Viridiplantae, Streptophyta, Magnoliopsida, Sapindales, Anacardiaceae.